Molecule: ribosomal RNA, 1424 nt
Filed under: Vibrio parahaemolyticus
Lineage: Bacteria; Pseudomonadati; Pseudomonadota; Gammaproteobacteria; Vibrionales; Vibrionaceae
Description: bacterial SSU rRNA
Rfam family: Bacterial small subunit ribosomal RNA
Source: RNAcentral
UGCAGUCGAGCGGAUACAAGCAUAUCAGAACCUUCGCGGGGACGAUAACGGCGUCGAGCGGCGGACGGGUGAGUAAUGCCUAGGAAAUUGCCCUGAUGUGGGGGAUAACCAUUGGAAACGAUGGCUAAUACCGCAUGAUGCCUACGGGCCAAAGAGGGGGACCUUCGGGCCUCUCGCGUCAGGAUAUGCCUAGGUGGGAUUAGCUAGUUGGUGAGGUAAGGGCUCACCAAGGCGACGAUCCCUAGCUGGUCUGAGAGGAUGAUCAGCCACACUGGAACUGAGACACGGUCCAGACUCCUACGGGAGGCAGCAGUGGGGAAUAUUGCACAAUGGGCGCAAGCCUGAUGCAGCCAUGCCGCGUGUGUGAAGAAGGCCUUCGGGUUGUAAAGCACUUUCAGUCGUGAGGAAGGUGGUGUAGUUAAUAGCUGCAUCAUUUGACGUUAGCGACAGAAGAAGCACCGGCUAACUCCGUGCCAGCAGCCGCGGUAAUACGGAGGGUGCGAGCGUUAAUCGGAAUUACUGGGCGUAAAGCGCAUGCAGGUGGUUUGUUAAGUCAGAUGUGAAAGCCCGGGGCUCAACCUCGGAAUUGCAUUUGAAACUGGCAGACUAGAGUACUGUAGAGGGGGGGUAGAAUUUCAGGUGUAGCGGUGAAAUGCGUAGAGAUCUGAAGGAAUACCGGGUGGCGAAGGCGGCCCCCUGGACAGAUACUGACACUCAGAUGCGAAAGCGUGGGGGAGCAAACAGGAUUAGAUACCCUGGUAGUCCACGCCGUAAACGAUGUCUACUUGGAGGUUGUGGCCCUGAGCCGUGGCUUUCGGAGCUAACGCGUUAAGUAGACCGCCUGGGGAGUACGGUCGCAAGAUUAAAACUCAAAUGAAUUGACGGGGGCCCGCACAAGCGGUGGAGCAUGUGGUUUAAUUCGAUGCAACGCGAAGAACCUUACCUACUCUUGACAUCCAGAGAACUUUCCAGAGAUGGAUUGGUGCCUUCGGGAACUCUGAGACAGGUGCUGCAUGGCUGUCGUCAGCUCGUGUUGUGAAAUGUUGGGUUAAGUCCCGCAACGAGCGCAACCCUUAUCCUUGUUUGCCAGCGAGUAAUGUCGGGAACUCCAGGGAGACUGCCGGUGAUAAACCGGAGGAAGGUGGGGACGACGUCAAGUCAUCAUGGCCCUUACGAGUAGGGCUACACACGUGCUACAAUGGCGCAUACAGAGGGCAGCCAACUUGCGAAAGUGAGCGAAUCCCAAAAAGUGCGUCGUAGUCCGGAUUGGAGUCUGCAACUCGACUCCAUGAAGUCGGAAUCGCUAGUAAUCGUGGUUCAGAAUGCCACGGUGAAUACGUUCCCGCUCUUUGUCCACACCGCCCAUCACGGCCACAGGUUAUGGCCCACCUGAAGAAGCCCGGUAGUGUUGAUCUUCGGGCAGA